Molecule: transfer RNA, 97 nt
Filed under: Mangrovihabitans endophyticus
Lineage: Bacteria; Bacillati; Actinomycetota; Actinomycetes; Micromonosporales; Micromonosporaceae
Description: tRNA-Arg
Source: RNAcentral
GGUGGCGCUGGCGGAAUGCGCCGCCGCCCGGGGGUUGCGGGUGCCCGACGACGUGUCGUUGGUGGCCCUGGGCGAUCCGACGCGUCCCGCCGCCACC